UACGUAGGGUGCAAGCGUUGUCCGGAAUUAUUGGGCGUAAAGAGCUCGUAGGCGGUCUGUUGCGUCGGCUGUGAAAACCCGGGGCUCAACCCCGGGCCUGCAGCCGAUACGGGCAGACUAGAGUUCGGCAGGGGAGACUGGAAUUCCUGGUGUAGCGGUGAAAUGCGCAGAUAUCAGGAGGAACACCGGUGGCGAAGGCGGGUCUCUGGGCAGCAACUGACGCUGAGGAGCGAAAGCGUGGGGAGCGAACAGG
RNAcentral lists this ribosomal RNA (253 nucleotides) under uncultured bacterium. Its description in RNAcentral is "partial 16S ribosomal RNA". It matches the Rfam family "Bacterial small subunit ribosomal RNA", at positions 524 to 776 of the family's 1533-position model. The record is from RNAcentral.